This 77-nucleotide small RNA is filed under the name Xanthomonas cucurbitae. RNAcentral's name for it is "sX9 sRNA". It matches the Rfam family "Xanthomonas sRNA sX9". The record is from RNAcentral. RNAcentral also lists the same sequence under 1 other name. Lineage: Bacteria; Pseudomonadati; Pseudomonadota; Gammaproteobacteria; Lysobacterales; Lysobacteraceae.
AUGUCCCCUGCGUACACUCCGGUUCUGGGCACGCCGUCCAUACCUCCCUGACGCGCGCUCGCUACGUGCUGUCAGCC